GGAGUCGGCCAGGCAGUCGCGUCACCUUGAUCCACUUCGGUGGUGACGGGUGCCGAGGAAAGUCCGGGCUCCACAGGGCACGGUGCCAGGUAACACCUGGGCGGCGCGAGCCGACGGAAAGUGCAACAGAGAGCAGACCGCCGAACGGUCCCUCCGGGGAUGCGUGGCAAGGGUGAAACGGUGCGGUAAGAGCGCACCGCGAGUCUGGCAACAGACCGGCACGGCAAACCCCACCGGGAGCAAGACCAAAUAGGGACCUCAUGGCGCUGCCCGCGUCGGGUCCGGGUAGGUUGCUCGAGCGUAUCGGUGACGAUGCGCCUAGAGGAAUGACUGUCCACGACAGAACCCGGCUUAUCGGCCGGCUCCGCCA
Molecule: RNase P RNA, 370 nt
Filed under: Lysobacter spongiicola DSM 21749
Lineage: Bacteria; Pseudomonadati; Pseudomonadota; Gammaproteobacteria; Lysobacterales; Lysobacteraceae
Description: Bacterial RNase P class A
Rfam family: Bacterial RNase P class A
About the family: Ribonuclease P (RNase P) is a ubiquitous endoribonuclease, found in archaea, bacteria and eukarya as well as chloroplasts and mitochondria.
Source: Rfam by way of RNAcentral